Ipomoea nil (Japanese morning glory) is the source of this 72-nucleotide transfer RNA. It matches the Rfam family "tRNA". Rfam says of the family: Transfer RNA (tRNA) molecules are approximately 80 nucleotides in length. Their secondary structure includes four short double-helical elements and three loops (D, anti-codon, and T loops). Further hydrogen bonds mediate the characteristic L-shaped molecular structure. tRNAs have two regions of fundamental functional importance: the anti-codon, which is responsible for specific mRNA codon recognition, and the 3' end, to which the tRNAs corresponding amino acid is attached (by aminoacyl-tRNA synthetases). tRNAs cope with the degeneracy of the genetic code in two manners: having more than one tRNA (with a specific anti-codon) for a particular amino acid; and 'wobble' base-pairing, i.e. permitting non-standard base-pairing at the 3rd anti-codon position. Lineage: Eukaryota; Viridiplantae; Streptophyta; Magnoliopsida; Solanales; Convolvulaceae. The record is from Rfam.
GCGUUUGUAGUCCAACGAUUAGGAUAAUUGCCUUCCAAGCAAUAGACCCGGGUUUGACUCUCGGCAAACGCA